This 67-nucleotide transfer RNA is filed under the name Caracara creightoni. RNAcentral's name for it is "tRNA-Thr". It matches the Rfam family "tRNA". Rfam says of the family: Transfer RNA (tRNA) molecules are approximately 80 nucleotides in length. Their secondary structure includes four short double-helical elements and three loops (D, anti-codon, and T loops). Further hydrogen bonds mediate the characteristic L-shaped molecular structure. tRNAs have two regions of fundamental functional importance: the anti-codon, which is responsible for specific mRNA codon recognition, and the 3' end, to which the tRNAs corresponding amino acid is attached (by aminoacyl-tRNA synthetases). tRNAs cope with the degeneracy of the genetic code in two manners: having more than one tRNA (with a specific anti-codon) for a particular amino acid; and 'wobble' base-pairing, i.e. permitting non-standard base-pairing at the 3rd anti-codon position. Lineage: Eukaryota; Metazoa; Chordata; Aves; Falconiformes; Falconidae. The record is from RNAcentral.
ACUCUAAUAGUUUAUUAAAAHAUUGGUCUUGUAAACCAAAGAAUGAAGAACACAUYUUYUUAGAGUU